CAUGCCGUAAACGUUGUAUACUAGGUGCGGGAGGUAUCGACCCCUUCCGUGCCGAAGCUAACGCAUUAAGUAUACCGCCUGGGGAGUACGCGCGCAAGCGUGAAACUCAAAGGAAUUGACGGGGGCCCGCACAAGCGGUGGAGCAUGUGGUUUAAUUCGAGGCAACGCGAAGAACCUUACCCAGGCUUGACAUCCCAAGACCGCUCAUGAAAGUGAGUUUUCCCUUCGGGGACUUGGAGACAGGUGU
RNAcentral lists this ribosomal RNA (247 nucleotides) under uncultured bacterium. Its description in RNAcentral is "partial 16S ribosomal RNA". It matches the Rfam family "Bacterial small subunit ribosomal RNA", at positions 796 to 1041 of the family's 1533-position model. The record is from RNAcentral.